Colossoma macropomum (tambaqui) is the source of this 1983-nucleotide long non-coding RNA. RefSeq lists it as uncharacterized. The transcript has 3 exons. The record is from RefSeq and is a predicted model, not a curated record. NCBI's taxonomy places the organism in Eukaryota, Metazoa, Chordata, Actinopteri, Characiformes, Serrasalmidae.
ACACUUUGUUUUUUUGAACCUCAGCCCGCCUGUGUUUCAGUGUCGCAGCUCACAGCGGCCAGCUGUGGUCGAGGGAAGUGAUUCAUUUCCCUGUGGUGAAAAUACAGAGUCUUCGUCAGAGCGCGGAAAUUCCCGGACAUCACUAGGUUAGUGAUCUGUCAUGAAAGCGAAAGCGCUCAUUCCCAGCCAGCCCACUUCUUCAGACUGAGGAACUAACGAUACACUGGAACUGGAGGGACUCGAGCAGCUUCUUCAGUCUCUAAAACACGACAGCAGACUCUCUGGAGAAGGACAGUGUCGGUCUCGUGGCCUGGACUCGAGCAUGCCUGCAGUCAGCCUGGUGAAGAUGUACUUCCUAAUCGGCACUGCCUUUGGUGUUCUGCUGGCUCUCUACGGUCUGGUUGACUCGGUCGGUGGUCUGAUGUUUGUCCCCACUCGCCACCACACGGAGGUAGAGUGGGCGGUCAAAGACGCCCCCGCAGCUUCUCCGGGCAGGAGCACGGCUAAGAAACACAUCGGACAGAGAUGAACCUCCGGAUUUCUUCUCCUCGCUGUUCCGCUAUUGAAACCCGUGGGUCUCAGAUCUACAUUUGCACUGGAUGAACAGGAAGAGCUGCGAGUCUUUACUGAACUGCUGCAGUGAGAGUCGCUGAGUGGAGCUGCAGGGUUUCAGCCUGUAAACAAACCUGUCUGUCCGAGGAAGACUGCCGUAAAGCUACCUGCUGGUCAUCAGAUAGCGACUUACCUACUUGAUAGAAAGGCAAAAAACCGUGUUUUCGUAGUUACUGAUUUUUAAACGCACACUAAGAGCCAGUGUUAUUUUUUUUUUUAUUUUUUGUAAAAAGUGUAUAAAAAACCUGUUAAACUUGUAGAAGCUGUCAUGUCUGAACUUAAGAAUAGACAUCACUCCUUGUGUUGGGUUUUGUUAGCUGUCUGUUGUACAGAAUCGUUUAAAUCUAAACAAAAAGAUCAUUGUUUUGUUUUAUGUUCACAACAUUAAAAGAUUACGACUACAUUACACUUACUGUAUUUCAAAACAUUUCAUCUCAAAAGUGCUUUUAAAUCGUAGAGAAUUACAAGCUCUAAUUUUGCUGCAUGUGUGAUUAACGCACUUAGACAUGCAAGUCACUUUACAUGUUGAAGGGGAAUUCCACCAAUUUUUCAAAACCUCUGCUCAGUUCAGUCAUUAAUAAUGAAGUUACUCAGAGUGGUUUGUUUGAAAUGCUCCACUGUGGAGAAACUUAUCAACUUGGAUUUCUUUACAGUGCUGGUGAUAAGACCCAGGAAAUCCUCCUGUUUUAAAUGCAACAAUGAUUCUAAAAUAUAAGUAAUUCUGGAAAAAAAAACAUCAGUUUUAUUGUGGAGUGUUUUGCCUCACAACGCCCUACAUGUAUCUCUUCGCCAUGAGUGUAUCUAAAAAGAAUAUUUAGUUUUAGUUAUAGUUUUAAGCCAAAAAGCCUUUGAGGGAGCUUUUGCAGGCAAUAAACUCUUCAGACACCUGGUUCCUAUCAGAACUGCUGUGAACAUUUCUGACUCACCAGAUUUCUCUACAACAGAGCAUUUCACUCCAAACAAACCUGGAUGACUUUGUUUACAUUUCAACAGUUGGCAGUUGGCAGAAGUUUUGAAAAACUAGUGGAAUUCCCCUUAACUUUGGAAACAGUUAGGACAUGGAGCAAGUACUGGUCUUGGCACAAUGUUUCCAGAAAACAAGAAUGUCUCGCCUGUUAAAAGCUGUUUUUUUCCAUCAUAUACAUUGUUUGGAGUGGGCUUUACACAUACAAGAACUGUCAGUGCUAAAUUACAGUUAAUGCCACCUUUAUUAGAGAAAUAAAAAUGUGCUUUGUAUUAUACAUCAGCUGUUAUUCUUUUCAGACACUCAUAUCCAAAAUUGUUACAAAUGGAUAUACAGCAUUUUGGAAUGAAACUCUUUAAUUAAGAAUGCCUCAGACUGAGAGGCUUUAUGUGACUACCAGUGCAAUA